GAUGAACGCUAGCGGCAGGCCUAAUACAUGCAAGUCAAGGGGCCAGCAAUGGCACCGGCGGACGGGUGCGUAACGCGUACACAACGUGCCUCUGACAGGGGGAUAGCAUUGGGAAACUGGUGGUAAUACCCCAUAGUAUUGCUGGGAGGCAUUUCUUGGCAAUUAAAGUUACGGCGGUCAGAGAUCGGUGUGCGUCCGAUUAGCUAGUUGGCGGGGUAACGGCCCACCAAGGCGACGAUCGGUAGGGGGUGUGAGAGCAUGACCCCCCCACAUGGGUACUGAGACACGGACCCAACUCCUACGGGAGGCAGCAGUAAGGAAUAUUGGACAAUGGUCGGAAGACUGAUCCAGCCAUGCCGCGUGAAGGACGAAGGCGCUCAGCGUUGUAAACUUCUUUUUGGAUGGGGAUAAUAACCUCGAUUUAUCGGGGCUUGAAGGUACCAUCAGAAUAAGCACCGGCUAACUCCGUG
RNAcentral lists this ribosomal RNA (470 nucleotides) under uncultured bacterium. RNAcentral describes it as "bacterial SSU rRNA". It matches the Rfam family "Bacterial small subunit ribosomal RNA", at positions 28 to 507 of the family's 1533-position model. The record is from RNAcentral.